AGGUUUACCUGUGUGACUGCGUACCUUUUGUAUAAUGGGUCAGCGACUUAUAUUCUGUAGCAAGGUUAACCGUAUAGGGGAGCCGAAGGGAAACCGAGUCUUAACCGGGCGUUAAGUUGCAGGGUAUAGACCCGAAACCCGGUGAUCUAGCCAUGGGCAGGUUGAAGGUUGGGUAACACUAACUGGAGGACCGAACCGACUAAUGUUGAAAAAUUAGCGGAUGACCUGUGGCUGGGGGUGAAAGGCCAAUCAAACCGGGAGAUAGCUGGUUCUCCCCGAAAGCUAUUUAGGUAGCGCCUCGUGAAUUCAUCUCCGGGGGUAGAGCACUGUUUCGGCUAGGGGGCCAUCCCGGCUUACCAACCCGAUGCAAACUGCGAAUACCGGAGAAUGUUAUCACGGGAGACACACGGCGGGGGCUAACGUCCGUCGUGAAGAGGGAAACAACCCAGACCGCCAGCUAAGGUCCCAAAGUCAUGGUUAAGUGGGAAACGAUGUGGGAAGGCCCAGACAGCCAGGAUGUUGGCUUAGAAGCAGCCAUCAUUUAAAGAAAGCGUAAUAGCUCACUGGUCGAGUCGGCCUGCGCGGAAGAUGUAACGGGGCUAAACCAUGCACCGAAGCUGCGGCAGCGAACGUAUCACUUAAAGCGAUUCAGCGGGUUACGAUUGACGGAGCGAAGCGACGUCAAAGCGUAUACAAAGUCGAGUCGGUUUAAGGAUACGUUCGUUGGGUAGGGGAGCGUUCUGUAAGCCUGUGAAGGUGUGUCGUGAGGCAUGCUGGAGGUAUCAGAAGUGCGAAUGCUGACAUAAGUAACGAUAAAGCGGGUGAAAAGCCCGCUCGCCGGAAGACCAAGGGUUCCUGUCCAACGUUAAUCGGGGCAGGGUGAGUCGACCCCUAAGGCGAGGCCGAAAGGCGUAGUCGAUGGGAAACGGGUUAAUAUUCCCGUACUUGGUGUUACUGCGAAGGGGGGACGGAGAAGGCUAUGUUGGCCGGGCGACGGUUGUCCCGGUUUAAGCGUGUAGGUGUGUGUUCCAGGUAAAUCCGGUUCACUUUAACACUGAGGCGUGACGACGAGGCACUACGGUGCUGAAGCAACAAAUGCCCUGCUUCCAGGAAAAGCCUCUAAGCAUCAGGUAACAUCAAAUCGUACCCCAAACCGACACAGGUGGUCAGGUAGAGAAUACCAAGGCGCUUGAGAGAACUCGGGUGAAGGAACUAGGCAAAAUGGUGCCGUAACUUCGGGAG
RNAcentral lists this ribosomal RNA (1242 nucleotides) under Salmonella enterica subsp. enterica serovar Newport. RNAcentral describes it as "bacterial LSU rRNA". It matches the Rfam family "Bacterial large subunit ribosomal RNA", at positions 581 to 1742 of the family's 2925-position model. Lineage: Bacteria; Pseudomonadati; Pseudomonadota; Gammaproteobacteria; Enterobacterales; Enterobacteriaceae. The record is from RNAcentral.